Molecule: ribosomal RNA, 386 nt
Filed under: uncultured bacterium
Lineage: Bacteria
Description: partial 16S ribosomal RNA
Rfam family: Bacterial small subunit ribosomal RNA
Source: RNAcentral
UGGGGAAUUUUGGACAAUGGGGGAAACCCUGAUCCAGCCAUCCCGCGUGUGCGAUGAAGGCCUUCGGGUUGUAAAGCACUUUUGGCAGGAAAGAAACGUCGCGGGUUAAUACCCCGCGAAACUGACGGUACCUGCAGAAUAAGCACCGGCUAACUACGUGCCAGCAGCCGCGGUAAUACGUAGGGUGCAAGCGUUAAUCGGAAUUACUGGGCGUAAAGCGUGCGCAGGCGGUUCGGAAAGAAAGAUGUGAAAUCCCAGAGCUUAACUUUGGAACUGCAUUUUUAACUACCGGGCUAGAGUGUGUCAGAGGGAGGUGGAAUUCCGCGUGUAGCAGUGAAAUGCGUAGAUAUGCGGAGGAACACCGAUGGCGAAGGCAGCCUCCUGGA